AUGAACGUCUGUCUCCUUUUCUUAGGAUGGCUGUAGAAUCGUAUAUGGGUACUUGGCUUUUUCAUGUGCCUUGCCGCACUCCACCUUUCGCUCACCGACGAAACAAUUCCUUUGCCACGUUUAGCUUGUCUUCAUCCUCAUUUCUUGUCACGCAGCCGUCAUCUUGAAACAAGCAGAACAUGUGGGUUCUGCAUUGGAAGCCACCGACCAAGAAUUUUCUGCAAUAAUCGUUUGCUUAGGAUCCUGUGUCGACAUGUGCACUGAAUUGCUGCAUAUAUAUUCUCUGAGUGCGUGCUGAAACAAUGCUUGUAUUCACUCCAUGUAAGUCUCGAGAGUUUGUGCUUCAUACCAUCCAAAAUUUCCUGGAGAACAAGUCCGUCUGGCCUGAAAAAAACUUGACAAAUUGGGUAGGACGAAACGCAUGCCAUUACAGCUUGUGGUGGUUUUUCGGGAAGAUGAUAAGUCGGCAGAAUUUAUACUGGGGAAAAGUAGGAGACAGAUGGUGAAUACGGCCGGGUGGGUAGUGUACAUCCUCAUCGCGGUUUAAACCAAUGCGACAGCACAUGUAAUAAGGCUUGCUAAAACAGCUUCAACUAUUCAACAACUCUGCGGAUCAUGCAGUUUUUGCGUCUCGAGCAUUCGUGUUAGGAUGUCAUCAGCAUCCAGAAAGGCCUACUCUACUUACAUUGAAUCUUCAUCACCGGCGCUGGCCAGAGUACUGGAAGAGAUUGGAUCUUUCUUUAGUUUGGUAUAGUGGUAUAUGGAAUCUAUAGCAGAGAUGUUGUUGUUGUUGGUAAGUAACUACUCCUGUGAUAAUCUGAUUGCUUAAGGUCUCAUAAAUAAACCUGCUUCGAUGGUUUUCUCUCUCGAUAA
Physcomitrium patens is the source of this 873-nucleotide non-coding RNA. Lineage: Eukaryota; Viridiplantae; Streptophyta; Bryopsida; Funariales; Funariaceae. The record is from RefSeq and is a predicted model, not a curated record.